This 531-nucleotide long non-coding RNA is filed under the name Salvia miltiorrhiza (redroot sage). Its description in RNAcentral is "long non-coding RNA (SMIL_LNC009247)". The record is from RNAcentral. Lineage: Eukaryota; Viridiplantae; Streptophyta; Magnoliopsida; Lamiales; Lamiaceae.
UUAAUUUUGUUAAUUAUGUUAUUUUUUCAUUUUUUCUUUAUUCAUUUAGUAAUAAGGUUAGGAUGGUAUAUUUAACUAAAUAACUUAAACGUAAAUCCUAUUAUUUAAAGGAUUUAUUUAUUUUUUAAUCUAUGAUAACGUAUCAUCCAAUUUACAAUUUCAAUCCGUUUCUUUAUCAUUUACAUGACAUUAACUAACCGGAAGUAUAUUAUGGGGGACAGAAAAAGUAUUGUUUUUUUUUUGUUUUUUUGACUUGGGGGGAGUUGCGGAGGGAAAACAGUGGGUUUGAACUCGGAACCUCACUAUUCACACAGGAGGUCGCACCGCUUGGUGUCUCCUUGGGGAUAGAGGAUGUAUUGUUCAGAUAAUAUACAUAGUUGUUAUGCAUAAAAGGAUGCGUAAUAAAUAACUAACUGGUAGGCGUAAACAUCGUUGAGGUCGAAAGUGGAGGUGGAGUCGGGAAGUUUGAUGGUGGUGGAGUUGGAUCCUAAGAGGCUCACUGUCAAUACGAGAAAAACCAAUGUGAUGAUC